Molecule: ribosomal RNA, 413 nt
Filed under: uncultured microorganism
Description: bacterial SSU rRNA
Rfam family: Archaeal small subunit ribosomal RNA
Source: RNAcentral
CAGCCGCCGCGGUAAUACCGGCGGCCCGAGUGGCGGUCACUAUUAUUGGGCUUAAAGCGUCCGUAGCCGGGUUGGGAAGUCCUCCGGGAAAUCUGGCCGCUUAACGGUCAGAAUGCCGGAGGAUACUCCCAGCCUAGGGAGCGGGAGAGGCCGAGGGGAUUCCCGGAGUAGGGGGGAAAUCCUAUAAUCCCGGGAGGACCACCUGUGGCGAAGGCGCUCGGCUGGAACGCGUCCGACGGUGAGGGACGAAGGCCAGGGGAGCAAACCGGAUUAGAUACCCGGGUAGUCCUGGCUGUAAACGAUGCGGACUUUGUGUCGGACAAGCUAUGAGCUUGUCCGGUGCCGGAGGGAAACCGUUAAGUCCGCCGCCUGGGGAGUACGGCCGCAAGGCUGAAACUUAAAGGAAUGGCGGG